RNAcentral lists this small RNA (528 nucleotides) under Histoplasma capsulatum. Its description in RNAcentral is "hypothetical RNA". The record is from RNAcentral. RNAcentral also lists the same sequence under 1 other name. Lineage: Eukaryota; Fungi; Ascomycota; Eurotiomycetes; Onygenales; Ajellomycetaceae.
UUGGCACUUCUGGGAGGCAACAGUUGUAGUGCUUGUGACAAAUCUGCUGCUGACCUGGUCUCUGUUAUGGGACAUUUUCCCCUCACUCAGGAACUGGUCUAGUGGAGGAUUGGGUCCAGCAAAUUGCAUCGGAGCCGCGCUCUCUAUGCCUCGACGCCCGUCAUGGACAGGGCUCAAAUCUGUAGAUUACAAACUACAAUCCUUCACCUGGUUGGGAUCAGCAACCGACAGGGGAAAGCCAACCUUGGAUGGUAAAAGGCACAGCAGCCCCACCACCAUCAGCAGCGAUGACGACGGUUCGGUGCGUUCUUUGCAUAUCAGACAGGAUGUCACCAUAACAGUUCAAUCGGAAGAUUAUCAAGCCGAAGAGUAUAAGGAGAAGAGAGAGCGCGAUCUCCCUCAUAACGACAUCCCGUCCUUACAGGCGACUACCCCGCCGCCUCGGACACCGGCACCAGUGUCUUCUUCCCUUUUCUGUGACGAAUGGGACACACCGCAUACAAUAUCCGCUGAUAGGCGUGUUCACCC